UUUUUUUUUUUUUUUUUUUUUUUUCCAGAGACGCUGGCGGCGUGCCUAAUACAUGCAAGUCGAGCGAACAGACGAGGAGCUUGCUCCUCUGACGUUAGCGGCGGACGGGUGAGUAACACGUGGAUAACCUACCUAUAAGACUGGGAUAACUUCGGGAAACCGGAGCUAAUACCGGAUAAUAUAUUGAACCGCAUGGUUCAAUAGUGAAAGACGGUUUUGCUGUCACUUAUAGAUGGAUCCGCGCCGCAUUAGCUAGUUGGUAAGGUAACGGCUUACCAAGGCAACGAUGCGUAGCCGACCUGAGAGGGUGAUCGGCCACACUGGAACUGAGACACGGUCCAGACUCCUACGGGAGGCAGCAGUAGGGAAUCUUCCGCAAUGGGCGAAAGCCUGACGGAGCAACGCCGCGUGAGUGAUGAAGGUCUUCGGAUCGUAAAACUCUGUUAUUAGGGAAGAACAAAUGUGUAAGUAACUAUGCACGUCUUGACGGUACCUAAUCAGAAAGCCACGGCUAACUACGUGCCAGCAGCCGCGGUAAUACGUAGGUGGCAAGCGUUAUCCGGAAUUAUUGGGCGUAAAGCGCGCGUAGGCGGUUUUUUAAGUCUGAUGUGAAAGCCCACGGCUCAACCGUGGAGGGUCAUUGGAAACUGGAAAACUUGAGUGCAGAAGAGGAAAGUGGAAUUCCAUGUGUAGCGGUGAAAUGCGCACGACGAUAUGGAGGAACACCAGCUGGCGAACGGCGACUUUCCGGCCUGUAACUGACGCUGCUGCGACAGCGACCGC
Molecule: ribosomal RNA, 783 nt
Filed under: Staphylococcus epidermidis
Lineage: Bacteria; Bacillati; Bacillota; Bacilli; Caryophanales; Staphylococcaceae
Description: bacterial SSU rRNA
Rfam family: Bacterial small subunit ribosomal RNA
Source: RNAcentral